RNAcentral lists this ribosomal RNA (254 nucleotides) under uncultured bacterium. Its description in RNAcentral is "partial 16S ribosomal RNA". It matches the Rfam family "Bacterial small subunit ribosomal RNA", at positions 524 to 776 of the family's 1533-position model. The record is from RNAcentral.
UACGUAGGGGGCAAGCGGUUGUCCGGAAUCAUUGGGCGUAAAGCGCGUGUAGGCGGCCAGAAAAGUCCGCUGUGAAAACUCGAGGCUCAACUUCGAGCUGUCGGUGGAAACUUUCUGGCUAGAGUCCGGAAGAGGAGAAUGGAAUUCCUGGUGUAGCGGUGAAAUGCGCAGAUAUCAGGAAGAACACCCGUGGCGAAGGCGGUCUCUGGGACGGUACUGACGCUGGAGACGCGAAAGCGUGGGGAGCGAACAGG